UAUGUGAUCGUCUCUCGCAUAUCAAUAAGCGGAGGAAAAGAAACUAACAAGGAUUCCCCUAGUAACGGCGAGUGAAGCGGGAAGAGCUCAAAUUUGAAAUCUUAAAGGGUUUCCCUUUACGAAUUGUAGUUUAAAGAAGUGUUUUCUGUUGAGGUUUUGGUAAAAGUUCUUUGGAAUAGGACAUCAUAGAGGGUGAGAAUCCCGUAUUUGACCUUUACUUUCAACUUUGUGAUACACUUUCAAAGAGUCGGAUUGUUUGGGAAUGCAGUCCAAAAUGGGUGGUAAAUUUCAUCUAAAGCUAAAUAUUGGCGAGAGACCGUUAGCGAACAAGUACCGUGAGGGAAAGAUGAAAAGAACUUUGAAAAGAGAGUUAAACAGUACGUGAAAUUGUCAAAAGGGAAGCGUUUGACACCAGUGUUGUUUUUCUGAAAAUCAAUUAAAGAACUGUUUAUGCUAAGUUGUUUAGACUUUAUCAGCUAACUGUUUAGUUUUGAGCUUUUCUUUAAUGCACUUUUCAGUUAACAAGUCAACAUCAAUUUCUUUUGCUGUAAAAAAGCUUGAGGAAGGUGGCUUGAGAUUCGUCUUAAGUGUUUAUAGCCUCUUGCCUAUGCAGUCGGAGAGAUUGAGGUCUGCAGCGUAGAUCCUUCGGGGCUAAAUGCAUUUGUGCUAAGUUAUAGCAUUUUAUAGACAACUUGUUGACUAUGAUUUGUCUUGUAGCUUACUCGCUUAUGUUAUUUUACCUACGCUUAGGAUGUUGAGUAGCGACAUACGCAC
Molecule: ribosomal RNA, 774 nt
Filed under: uncultured Neocallimastigales
Lineage: Eukaryota; Fungi; Neocallimastigomycota; Neocallimastigomycetes; Neocallimastigales
Description: partial large subunit ribosomal RNA
Rfam family: Eukaryotic large subunit ribosomal RNA
Source: RNAcentral